This 72-nucleotide small nucleolar RNA is filed under the name Bombyx mori (domestic silkworm). RNAcentral describes it as "Bm_20". Lineage: Eukaryota; Metazoa; Arthropoda; Insecta; Lepidoptera; Bombycidae. The record is from RNAcentral.
AUAUAAUGAUGAUUUAUUUGCUAUCUGAGAGCCAUGAUGUCAAUCCAUCUACCACCAUAGAUUUUUCUGAUU